AGCGGGGUAGAGCAGAUGGUAGCUCGUCAGGCUCAUAACCUGAAGGUCGUGGGUUCGAGUCCUACCCCCGCAACCA
This 76-nucleotide transfer RNA is filed under the name Candidatus Liberibacter europaeus. Its description in RNAcentral is "tRNA-Met". It matches the Rfam family "tRNA". Rfam says of the family: Transfer RNA (tRNA) molecules are approximately 80 nucleotides in length. Their secondary structure includes four short double-helical elements and three loops (D, anti-codon, and T loops). Further hydrogen bonds mediate the characteristic L-shaped molecular structure. tRNAs have two regions of fundamental functional importance: the anti-codon, which is responsible for specific mRNA codon recognition, and the 3' end, to which the tRNAs corresponding amino acid is attached (by aminoacyl-tRNA synthetases). tRNAs cope with the degeneracy of the genetic code in two manners: having more than one tRNA (with a specific anti-codon) for a particular amino acid; and 'wobble' base-pairing, i.e. permitting non-standard base-pairing at the 3rd anti-codon position. The record is from RNAcentral. Lineage: Bacteria; Pseudomonadati; Pseudomonadota; Alphaproteobacteria; Hyphomicrobiales; Rhizobiaceae.